This is a long non-coding RNA of Rhagoletis pomonella (apple maggot), 161 nucleotides long. RefSeq lists it as uncharacterized. The transcript is spliced from 2 exons. Lineage: Eukaryota; Metazoa; Arthropoda; Insecta; Diptera; Tephritidae. The record is from RefSeq and is a predicted model, not a curated record.
GGUGGCUGGCAUAUCGGAGGAAUCACACAAAAGUGAAAUAAAACAUUCCACAUAGUAUAAAUUCCAACGAGGAUUGUGGAUAUUUUUAUUUUGGUCUCCGGCCUCGAAUCACCCCAAACAUCUUUUAUUUCACUUUUUGUGAAAAGUUCUUUUGCAUAACG